CCCUACGGGGUGCAGCAGGCGAGAAAACUUUGCAAUGUGCGAAAGCACGACAAGGUUAAUCCGAGUGGUUUCUGCUAAAGGAACCUUUUGUCAGUCCUAGAAACACUGAUGAAUAAGGGGUGGGCAAGUUCUGGUGUCAGCCGCCGCGGUAAAACCAGCACCUCAAGUGGUCAGGAUGAUUAUUGGGCCUAAAGCAUACGUAGCCGGCUUUGUAAGUUUUCGGUUAAAUCCAUGCGCUCAACGUAUGGGCUGCCGGAAAUACUGCAAAGCUAGGGAGUGGGAGAGGUAGACGGUACUCGGUAGGAAGGGGUAAAAUCCUUUGAUCUAUUGAUGACCACCUGUGGCGAAGGCGGUCUACCAGAACACGUCCGACGGUGAGGGAUGAAAGCUGGGGGAGCAAACCGGAUUAGAUACCCGGGUAGUCCCAGCUGUAAACUAUGCAAACUCAGUGAUGCAUUGGCUUGAUGCCAAUGCAGUGCUGCAGGGAAGCCGUUAAGUUUGCCGCCUGGGAAGUACGUACGCAAGUAUGAAACCUAAAGGAAUUGGCGGGGGAGCACCACAAGGGGUGAAGCCUGCGGUUCAAUUGGAGUCAACGCCAGAAAUCUUACCCGGAGAGACAGCAGAAUGAAGGUCAAGCUGAAGACUUUACCAGACAAGCUGAGAGGUGGUGCAUGGCC
RNAcentral lists this ribosomal RNA (677 nucleotides) under uncultured archaeon. RNAcentral describes it as "bacterial SSU rRNA". It matches the Rfam family "Archaeal small subunit ribosomal RNA", at positions 321 to 999 of the family's 1478-position model. The record is from RNAcentral.